Non-coding RNA from Podarcis lilfordi (Lilford's wall lizard), 71 nucleotides. The record is from the annotation of a GenBank genome assembly. Lineage: Eukaryota; Metazoa; Chordata; Lepidosauria; Squamata; Lacertidae.
AGGACCAUAGCUCAGUGGCAGAGUAUCUGCCUUGCAUGUAGAUGGUCCUAGAUUCAAUCCUGCUGCUCCUU